CUGGACUGUAUCAUGACGGGCAAUGCGAGGUAGAGGCUGCACCUUAUACCCUCUAGAUGCCAUGACUUCAGCGAUCAGAAAGGUUCCCUUGAUUGCCUCACCAACCAUUUGAGGUGAAAGGAACAGCCCCUGAAAAUAAGUUCGCAUGAUAUCACCAGGGGUUGAGCCACAAUCCAUGCCAAGCCCUGGUGCAGAGAGACGAGCUGCUGCUGCUUCUACCCAUUUUUUCCUCCCUGCAACAUAUCCACCACAUGGUGCAAUGGUUCCACCUGGAUUUUUAAUCAAACUGCCUGCAAUCAGAUCUGCACCCACCAUUGGAGGUU
RNAcentral lists this unclassified non-coding RNA (323 nucleotides) under Hevea brasiliensis (rubber tree). The record is from RNAcentral. Lineage: Eukaryota; Viridiplantae; Streptophyta; Magnoliopsida; Malpighiales; Euphorbiaceae.